GUUUGUUGAAAACACGGUGGUAUAGGAUGGACCCGCGUCUGAUUAGCUGGUUGGCGGGGUAAGGCCCACCAAGGCGACGAUCAGUAGCCGGCCUGAGAGGGUGGACGGCCACAUUGGGACUGAGACACGGCCCAAACUCCUACGGAAGGCAGCAG
Molecule: ribosomal RNA, 155 nt
Filed under: uncultured bacterium
Lineage: Bacteria
Description: partial 16S ribosomal RNA
Rfam family: Bacterial small subunit ribosomal RNA
Source: RNAcentral